AGUUGGUAAAGGAGUGGAUGAUCAUUUCAAUGUUUAUCUUAUAACAUGCAAGCACUAUGAUCACCCACUCAUUUACCAUGUUACAUGUUAUAAGAUAAACAUUGAAAUGAUCAUCUACUCCUUUA
Molecule: microRNA precursor, 125 nt
Filed under: Brassica oleracea var. oleracea
Lineage: Eukaryota; Viridiplantae; Streptophyta; Magnoliopsida; Brassicales; Brassicaceae
Description: pre miRNA mir-598
Source: RNAcentral